RNAcentral lists this ribosomal RNA (520 nucleotides) under uncultured Glomus. RNAcentral describes it as "SSU rRNA". It matches the Rfam family "Eukaryotic small subunit ribosomal RNA", at positions 569 to 1091 of the family's 1831-position model. The record is from RNAcentral. Lineage: Eukaryota; Fungi; Glomeromycota; Glomeromycetes; Glomerales; Glomeraceae.
AGCAGCCGCGGUAAUUCCAGCUCCAAUAGCGUAUAUUAAAGUUGUUGCAGUUAAAAAGCUCGUAGUUGAAUUUCGGGGUUAGUAGGUUGGUCAUGCCUCUGGUAUGUACUGGUCUCACUGAUUCCUCCUUCCUUAUGAACCGUAAUGCCAUUAAUUUGGUGUUGCGGGGAAUUUGGACUGUUACUUUGAAAAAAUUAGAGUGUUUAAAGCAAGCUAACGCUUGAAUACAUUAGCAUGGAAUAAUGAAAUAGGACGUUCGAUCUUAUUUUGUUGGUUUCUAGGAUUGACGUAAUGAUUAAUAGGGAUAGUUGGGGGCAUUGGUAUUCAAUUGUCAGAGGUGAAAUUCUUGGAUUUAUUGAAGACUAACUACUGCGAAAGCAUUUGCCAAGGAUGUUUUCAUUAAUCAAGAACGAAAGUUAGGGGAUCGAAGACGAUCAGAUACCGUCGUAGUCUUAACCAUAAACUAUGCCGACUAGGGAUCGGAUGAUGUUAAUUUUUAAUGACUCAUUCGGCGCCUUAC